RNAcentral lists this ribosomal RNA (427 nucleotides) under uncultured prokaryote. RNAcentral's name for it is "bacterial SSU rRNA". It matches the Rfam family "Bacterial small subunit ribosomal RNA", at positions 355 to 774 of the family's 1533-position model. The record is from RNAcentral.
UGGGGAAUUUUGCGCAAUGGACGAAAGCCUGACGCAGCAACGCCGCGUGGGUGAUGAAGGUCUUCGGAUUGUAAAACCCUGUCGUCGGGGACGAAGGUUGUAGGGUGAAUAGCCUUACGAUUUGACGGUACCCGGAGAGGAAGCCCCGGCUAACUCUGUGCCAGCAGCCGCGGUAAUACAGAGGGGGCAAGCGUUAUUCGGAAUUAUUGGGCGUAAAGGGCGCGUAGGCGGUUUUGUAAGUAGGAUGUGCAAUCCCCGAGCUUAACUUGGGAACUGCAUCCUAGACUGCAAGGCUAGAGUGCUGGAGAGGGUGGUAGAAUUCCACGUGUAGCGGUGAAAUGCGUAGAGAUGUGGAGGAAUACCAGUGGCGAAGGCGGCCACCUGGACAGUAACUGACGCUGAGGCGCGAAAGUGUGGGGAGCAAACA